AUGGGAACCGGAUUGGUUGCAGUGUGGCACAGACCUGGAACCUUCCUGAAAGAGGUUGGGGCAGGCAGUGGCUGUUCAGACGUCCAAUCUCUUUGGGACACCUCUUCAGCGCUGUCUUCCCUGCCUCUGCCUUUAGGACGAGUCUCAAACACCAACAAACUCAAGGCACGUGCCCUCUCUCAGGUCAGCUGCGAAGGGACGGGAGCAAGAGAGAGCCUCUCCCUCCUUCUACUUCGAGUUUUUGUUUGUUUGUUUCAAAAUAUUAAUGGACGAUAAAACAACACGGAUUUGUCACCUCCUAGCGAAGAGGAAGCUACCGCCACCAACCCCCUCAAGCAUGCCCGGGCACUUUUGGGACAAUCGGACGUGGCAGGAGUUGGCAUGCCCAAGAUGGAGCUGGGAAGGAUGACCCAGAGUGGAAGGCGUGGGCCAGUGCUCCAGGUCUCAGCUCUCGCCGGCGUCGAACCACACAACUUUGCCAGCUUUGCACUUUGCCUUUCCCUAUUGUGA
Molecule: non-coding RNA, 510 nt
Organism: Piliocolobus tephrosceles (Ugandan red Colobus)
Lineage: Eukaryota; Metazoa; Chordata; Mammalia; Primates; Cercopithecidae
Source: RefSeq, a predicted model, not a curated record